Molecule: non-coding RNA, 787 nt
Organism: Monodelphis domestica (gray short-tailed opossum)
Lineage: Eukaryota; Metazoa; Chordata; Mammalia; Didelphimorphia; Didelphidae
Source: RefSeq, a predicted model, not a curated record
GGGCGAACUAGAAUACCUGAUUAUCCAGACUUCCCAGAGCCAUGGGAUCUGUCUUGGCCAAAAGAAUCUCCCAAUGAGUUGGAGCAACAAGUGCCUGAACUGCACAAACAAGUUGAGAACCUCCAAAAAAGGUUAUCCAAACAACAGAAAGUCUAUCUCAAUGGUCAAGCACAUGGGAAGAAGAUAUAUAAGACCACUGGCACAGAACACAACUUUGACGAUGCAGCGGAAAUAUGUGACAAAGCCGAUGCCAUAGUAGCCUCCCCCAAAAACAAGGCAUAGAAUCAAGCUAUACAGGACAUCCUCUCAAGAUACAAGAAGUCAGCCUUCCUUGGCAUGACUGACAGAAAGAGUGAUGGCAAAUUCAUCUAUCGAACAGGAGAGCCACUGGUCUAUUCCAACUGGAGGUCUGGAGAACCUAAUAAUAAGGGUGGUGGAGAGAACUGCAUUGAGAUGUCUCCUAGUGGCAAAUGAAAUGACAUGCCAUGUCAGGAAUCAUUUCUCACUAUUUGUGAUUUUGAAGUCUAGGUGGUUUGGGUAGUGUGUACUAGGGAGAUGUGUUGCUAUGGGUUAGGGGUGGGGAAGAGGCAUGCCAGGGGAUGACAGAUGAUCAUCAGGUGGAGGGCCAUUGUACCACUCAUAACUAAUAAAUAAAAAUAUCAAUGCUCUGCACUAUCUGCUGCUUCUCUAAGCAUGACACCUGUUAAUUCCCCUAGGGCCUGAGAUGGGAAAAGGGAGAUGGUGUGGUCAAUACCCAACCUUGGGUUCUAUCUGCCUUCCUAAAAGU